RNAcentral lists this ribosomal RNA (425 nucleotides) under uncultured bacterium. RNAcentral describes it as "partial 16S ribosomal RNA". It matches the Rfam family "Bacterial small subunit ribosomal RNA", at positions 354 to 796 of the family's 1533-position model. The record is from RNAcentral.
GUGGGGAAUAUUGGACAAUGGGCGAAAGCCUGAUCCAGCAAUGCCGCGUGAGUGAUGAAGGCCUUAGGGUUGUAAAGCUCUUUUACCAGGGAUGAUAAUGACAGUACCUGGAGAAUAAGCUCCGGCUAACUCCGUGCCAGCAGCCGCGGUAAUACGGAGGGAGCUAGCGUUGUUCGGAAUUACUGGGCGUAAAGCGCACGUAGGCGGUUACUCAAGUCAGAGGUGAAAGCCCGGGGCUCAACCCCGGAACUGCCUUUGAAACUAGGUAACUAGAAUCUUGGAGAGGUCAGUGGAAUUCCGAGUGUAGAGGUGAAAUUCGUAGAUAUUCGGAAGAACACCAGUGGCGAAGGCGACUGACUGGACAAGUAUUGACGCUGAGGUGCGAAAGCGUGGGGAGCAAACAGGAUUAGAAACCCUUGUAGUCC